Molecule: RNase P RNA, 392 nt
Filed under: Desulfobacterales bacterium
Lineage: Bacteria; Pseudomonadati; Thermodesulfobacteriota; Desulfobacteria; Desulfobacterales
Description: RNase P RNA component class A
Rfam family: Bacterial RNase P class A
About the family: Ribonuclease P (RNase P) is a ubiquitous endoribonuclease, found in archaea, bacteria and eukarya as well as chloroplasts and mitochondria. Its best characterised activity is the generation of mature 5'-ends of tRNAs by cleaving the 5'-leader elements of precursor-tRNAs.
Source: RNAcentral
GGUGGAACCCAAACGAUCGCUGGUACGCAGUGCGUACCGGAGGAAAGUCCGAACACCACAGGGCAGGGUGCUCCGUAACCCGGAGUCGCGGAAACGCGAAGGAAAGUGCAGCAGAGAGCAGACCGCCCGGCAUCCGCAUCUUGCAUGCGGAUGCCGGGUAAGGGUGAAACGGUGCGGUAAGAGCGCACCAGUUCCCCGGGCGACCGGGGAAGCUAUGCAAACCCCACCCGGUGCAAGACCGAAUAGGGGAGCACUUAAGGGUGGCCCGCCCAAUGCUCCCGGGUAGGUCGCUGGAGGUGCCGGGCAACCGGCACCCGCAGAUGAAUGAUCGUUGCCCGCACCCGGGGCAACCCGGUGCGGGAACAGAAUUCGGCUUACGGGUUCCGUUGACC